UGGGGAAUUUUGCGCAAUGGGCGAAAGCCUGACGCAGCAACGCCGCGUGAGUGAUGAAGGCUUUCGGGUCGUAAAGCUCUGUCAAGGGGAAAGAAGUGUAUUGUGGUUAAUACCCAUGAUGCUUGACGGUACCCCUAAAGGAAGCACCGGCUAACUCCGUGCCAGCAGCCGCGGUAAUCCGGGGGGUGCAAGCGUUGUUCGGAAUUAUUGGGCGUAAAGCGCGUGUAGGCGGUUUGUUAAUUCUGAUGUGAAAGCCCGGGCUCAACCUGGGAAGUGCAUUGGAAACUGGCAGACUUGAGUACGGGAGAGGGUAGUGGAAGUCCUGGUGUAGGAGUGAAAUCCGUAGAUAUCAGGAGGAACACCGGUGGCGAAGGCGGCUGCCUGGACCGAUAUUGACGCUGAGACGCGAAAGCGUGGGUAGCAAACA
RNAcentral lists this ribosomal RNA (427 nucleotides) under uncultured prokaryote. RNAcentral describes it as "bacterial SSU rRNA". It matches the Rfam family "Bacterial small subunit ribosomal RNA", at positions 355 to 774 of the family's 1533-position model. The record is from RNAcentral.